Molecule: ribosomal RNA, 253 nt
Filed under: uncultured bacterium
Lineage: Bacteria
Description: partial 16S ribosomal RNA
Rfam family: Bacterial small subunit ribosomal RNA
Source: RNAcentral
UACGUAGGGUGCAAGCGUUAGUCGGAAUUACUGGGCAUAAAGCGUACGCAGGCGGUUUGUUAAGGCAGUCGUGAAAUCCCCGGGCUUAACCUGGGAACUGCGAUUGUGACUGGCAAGCUAGGGUGUGGCGGAGGGGGGUGGAAUUCCACGUGUAGCAGUGAAAUGCCUAGAGAUGUGGAGGAACACCGAUGGCGAAGGCAGCCCCCUGGGCUAUCACUGACGCUCAUGCACGAAAGCGUGGGGAGCAAACAGG